CCCUUAGAUGUCCUGGGCUGCACGCGCGCUACACUGAUGUAUUCAACAAGUGUUACCUUGACCGAGAGGCCUAGGAAAUCUUUUAAAAGUGCAUCGUGAUAGGAAUAGAUUAUUGCAAUUUUUAAUCUUGAACGAGGAAUUCCUAGUAAACGCAGAUCAUCAAUCUGCAUUGAUUACGUCCCUGCCCUUUGUACACACCGCCCGUCGCUACUGCCAACUGAGAUGGGUCCUGAAUUGUUAGGAACGCCCGUCAAGGGGCCUACCCGGUCCCUAGUGCGGUGACGAGAAUAACUGUAAAUGGCAUAUCUUGUAGGGAGUAAAAGCCGUAACA
RNAcentral lists this ribosomal RNA (331 nucleotides) under uncultured eukaryote. Its description in RNAcentral is "partial 18S ribosomal RNA". It matches the Rfam family "Eukaryotic small subunit ribosomal RNA", at positions 1470 to 1796 of the family's 1831-position model. The record is from RNAcentral.